This 74-nucleotide microRNA precursor is filed under the name Tupaia belangeri (northern tree shrew). Its description in RNAcentral is "miRNA (ENSTBEG00000019836.1)". The record is from RNAcentral. Lineage: Eukaryota; Metazoa; Chordata; Mammalia; Scandentia; Tupaiidae.
GGUGUGUGUGUGUGUGUGUGUGUGUGUGUGUGCGCAUAGAAGCCUCGCACUUGUUCAGCACUGCCACCUCCGCA